GAUGAAGAACGCAGCAAAAUGCGAUAAGUAAUGUGAAUUGCAGAAUUCAGUGAAUCAUCGAAUCUUUGAGCGCACAUUGCGCCCGCUGGUAUUCCGGCGGGCAUGCCUGUUCGAGCGUCAUUUCAACCCUCAAGCCCCCGGGUUUGGUGUUGGGGAUCGGCUCUGCCUUCUGGCGGUGCCGCCCCCGAAAUACAUUGGCGGUCUCGCUGCAGCCUCCAUUGCGUAGUAGCUAACACCUCGCAACUGGAACGCGGCGCGGCCAUGCCGUAAAACCCCAACUUCUGAAUGUUGACCUCGGAUCAGGUAGGAAUACCCGCUGAACUUAAGCAUAUCAAUAAGCGGAGGA
This 346-nucleotide unclassified non-coding RNA is filed under the name soil metagenome. Its description in RNAcentral is "partial contains 5.8S ribosomal RNA, internal transcribed spacer 2, and large subunit ribosomal RNA". The stretch from base 1 to 120 matches the Rfam family "5.8S ribosomal RNA", at positions 35 to 154 of the family's 154-position model. The record is from RNAcentral.